GACGGAGGAGGCAAGCGCUGUCCGGCAUUAUUGGGCGUAAAGGGUACGUGGGCGGCUGGUCGAGACUGGGGUCAAAGGCCACAGCUCAACUGUGGGAAGGCCCUGGAAACUGACCGGCUAGAGUGAGGUAGGGGUUGCGGGAAUUCCCGGUGUAGCGGUGAAAUGCGUAGAGAUCGCGAAGAACACCUGAGGCGGAAGCGAGCACCUGGGCCUCAACUGACGCUGAGGUACGAAAGAUAGGGGAGCGAAUGGG
This 253-nucleotide ribosomal RNA is filed under the name uncultured bacterium. RNAcentral's name for it is "partial 16S ribosomal RNA". It matches the Rfam family "Bacterial small subunit ribosomal RNA", at positions 524 to 776 of the family's 1533-position model. The record is from RNAcentral.